GUGGGCAAUCUGCUGCGGGCAGAUAUAGUGGAUAUGAGUGUCGAUGCCGCCGGCGGUGGCGAUCAGGUGUGCGCCGUUGUGCACUUCGGUGGCCGCGCCGAUGAUCAUAUCGGGGGUAACACCGUCCAUGGUGUCGGGGUUGCCCGCUUGGCCGAUGCCGACGAUGCGGCCGUCGCGGAUGCCGAUGUCGGCUUUCACGAUGCCCCAAUGGUCGAUGAUGACCACGUUGGUAAUCACGAAAUCCAGCACGUUUUCAUCGCUGCGGCAGGCAUCGGCCGACUGCGCCAUGCCGUCGCGCAC
This 300-nucleotide small RNA is filed under the name Neisseria dentiae. RNAcentral describes it as "5' ureB small RNA". It matches the Rfam family "5' ureB small RNA". The record is from Rfam by way of RNAcentral. Lineage: Bacteria; Pseudomonadati; Pseudomonadota; Betaproteobacteria; Neisseriales; Neisseriaceae.